AUGACCGCUCUAUCUGGCGCUCAACGCGCUAGACUCGCCGAAACAACGUUGCGGGGCAUGAUGCAGAUGCCAUCGAUUAAGAUGCAUACACUUUUGAUAAGGUACACGGUUGAGAUUUUUGAGCCCACCACGGGAAGAUUCAUUGUAGAAGAGGUGGUUGGUGAGGUGUCUCUCGGUGCCGUGGACGUUGAGUGCAUCUUCAACUUGGACAACCUAGGACUGUCGGCAUCAGACAUUCUCAGUGAAGAAGGUGAGGACAUAAAAGACCGGGUGCCGCCUCAAUUGUUGAGUAAGUCUACUGGUAAUAUCGUCAUCGAUGAUCUCAUUGCGGACAUCAUUAAGAAUAAAUCCGCCGACGACGAUUUCCUUCGGAAAGUAGUCCUUGUCCUCCUAGGAACAGUCCUUGCUCCCAUGUCGAGCAAGAUUGUCCCAAAACAGUACUAUGCAUUGGUGGACGAUGUGAAACGUAUUUCCAAGAUUAAUUGGAAUGCGUUCACCCUCGAUGUUCUCCUCGACCGCCUUCGCGUUGUGAGGAAAGGCAAACACACCUCCGUCAAUGGCCGAGGGGCAGUUUAG
RNAcentral lists this ribosomal RNA (576 nucleotides) under Triticum aestivum (bread wheat). RNAcentral's name for it is "partial small subunit ribosomal RNA". The record is from RNAcentral. Lineage: Eukaryota; Viridiplantae; Streptophyta; Magnoliopsida; Poales; Poaceae.